AUUUCUGAAGGUGUUUCCCUACAUCUAAAAUUAAUGUUUAAUUUCGGGUAUUUUUUACAGCAAACUGAACAAUCUUGAAGUU
Caenorhabditis elegans is the source of this 82-nucleotide non-coding RNA. Lineage: Eukaryota; Metazoa; Nematoda; Chromadorea; Rhabditida; Rhabditidae. The record is from Ensembl.